RNAcentral lists this ribosomal RNA (382 nucleotides) under uncultured eukaryote. RNAcentral's name for it is "partial 18S ribosomal RNA". It matches the Rfam family "Eukaryotic small subunit ribosomal RNA", at positions 592 to 976 of the family's 1831-position model. The record is from RNAcentral.
UGUAAGCGUAUACCAAAGUUGUUGCAGUUAAAACGCUCGUAGUCGGAAUUUGGCAGUUCCGGAUGUGUGCACGUCGUGUGCGCACUUCGCGGGGAUUGCUUUUGUGGUCUUGCGUAGGAUGAGGCACUUUUAUUAGUGAACGUCCUCACGCAACCACUUUUUACUGUGAGAAAAUCAGAGUGCUCAAAGCAGGCAUUUGCCGUGAAUGUAUUAGCAUGGAAUAAUAGAAUAGGACUUGGUUCUAUUUUGUUGGUUUGUUGGGACUGAGUAAUGAUUAAGAGGGACAGUUGGGGGCAUUUGUAUUUCGGUGCUAGAGGUGAAAUUCUUAGAUUACCGAAAGCCAAACUGCUGCGAAAGCGUCUGCCAAGGAUGUUUUCAUUGA